GACGAACGCUGGUGGCGUGCUUAACACAUGCAAGUCGAACGGGAUUUAGUAAACAGAAGCCUCGGUGGAAGAUUACUAAUGAGAGUGGCGAACGGGUGAGUAACGCGUGAGCAACCUGCCUAUGACAGUGGGAUAGCCUCGGGAAACCGGGAUUAAUACCGCAUAAAAUCGUAGAAACACAUGUUUUAACGGUCAAAGAUUUAUCGGUCAUAGAUGGGCUCGCGUCUGAUUAGCUAGUUGGUGAGAUAACAGCCCACCAAGGCGACGAUCAGUAGCCGGUCUGAGAGGAUGAACGGCCACAUUGGAACUGAGACACGGUCCAAACUCCUAUGGGAGGCAGCAGUGGGGAAUAUUGCACAAUGGGGGAAACCCUGAUGCAGCGACGCCGCGUGAACGAAGAAGGUAUUCGUAUCGUAAAGUUCUGUCCUAUGGGAAGAUAAUGACAGUACCAUAGAAGAAAGCUCCGGCUAAAUACGUG
This 478-nucleotide ribosomal RNA is filed under the name uncultured bacterium. RNAcentral's name for it is "partial 16S ribosomal RNA". It matches the Rfam family "Bacterial small subunit ribosomal RNA", at positions 28 to 507 of the family's 1533-position model. The record is from RNAcentral.